RNAcentral lists this long non-coding RNA (215 nucleotides) under Elaeis guineensis (African oil palm). RNAcentral's name for it is "long non-coding RNA (EGUI_LNC021021)". The record is from RNAcentral. Lineage: Eukaryota; Viridiplantae; Streptophyta; Magnoliopsida; Arecales; Arecaceae.
UUAAGAUUUUAUUAGAUCACAAUAAAGAAGUAAAUUUUUAUUUGCUAAAUUUGCUAAAACAUAAAGACUUAUAGUAUGCCAGAAAAAUAAGCAAGCAACUAUGAAAGCUUUUUCUGCUUGCUCACUUGUCCUUAUGUCAUGCACAAAGAACUUUCUUGCUUCCUUAUGUGUAUCGACGUGUGCUUCAUGUAGAAAGAGGCGAGUUGGAAUCACCC